CAGACUACCAGAGCAUAGUCACGCUCUACUGCCAAUGUACUGCAUGAUCUUCAACAUGUCAUUUAACUUUGAAAAAUUGCCACCAGGAUGUGAGCUUCUCCUCAAAAUCACGGGUCUCUCUGAAGUGUGGAUGUGUGGUAGUGACCCUAUGAAGGUGCUUAAUCUCUGCACUUCCACCCAAAAUGGAGGAGAACCUCUGGACCAGGUCAGCCUCUUCUCUCUGGUUUUUAGAGACUUUGUUAGAGGACAGGGAGACUGCUUUGAAAGGAUCAAGAACAGCUCUGCAAAAGUGGGAGGAAAGAACAUAUAUAUAACAAUAAGCCUUUUCCCCCUUAAUUUUCUCAGUUGGCUGCAC
Athene cunicularia (burrowing owl) is the source of this 355-nucleotide long non-coding RNA. RefSeq lists it as uncharacterized. The record is from RefSeq and is a predicted model, not a curated record. NCBI's taxonomy places the organism in Eukaryota, Metazoa, Chordata, Aves, Strigiformes, Strigidae. The transcript has 3 exons.